AGAGAAGAGAGGAGAGCGUACAGAGAAGAGAGAAGAGAGGACAGAAGAGUGCUGAGGAGGACAAGAUGAGAGGAGAGGAGAGAGGACAGGAGAGUGCUGAGGAGCAGGAGAGGAGAGGAGAGAGGAGAGAGGACAGGAGAGUGCUGAGGAGGAGGGGAGGAGAGAAGAGAGGAGAGCAUACAGGAGAGUGCUGAGGAGGAGGAGAGGAGAGGAGAGAGGACAGGGGAGUGCUGAGGAGGAGGAGAGGAGAGAGGAUAGAGGACAGAAGAGUGCUGAGGAGGACGAGAAGAGAAGGGGAGAGGAGAGAGGACAGAGAAUUACUGAGGAGGAGGAGAGGAGAAGGAGGAGAGGAGAGAGGACAGGGGAGUGCUGAGGAGGAGGAGAGCAGAAGGGGGAGAGGAGAGAGGACAGGAGAGUGC
Molecule: long non-coding RNA, 419 nt
Organism: Oncorhynchus tshawytscha (Chinook salmon)
Lineage: Eukaryota; Metazoa; Chordata; Actinopteri; Salmoniformes; Salmonidae
Source: Ensembl